RNAcentral lists this ribosomal RNA (515 nucleotides) under uncultured bacterium. Its description in RNAcentral is "bacterial SSU rRNA". It matches the Rfam family "Bacterial small subunit ribosomal RNA", at positions 29 to 523 of the family's 1533-position model. The record is from RNAcentral.
AGCGAACGUUAGCGGCGGGCCUAACACAUGCAAGUCGAACGCGAAAGGUCUUCGGACUGAGUAGAGUGGCGCACGGGUGAGUAACACGUAGGUAAUCUACCCUUUGGCGGGGAUAACGUUCCGAAAGGAGCGCUAAUACCGCAUAAGACCACGGAGUCUCCGGACGCUGUGGGAAAAGGUGGCCUCUUCUUGAAAGCUACCACCGAAGGAUGAGCCUGCGUCCCAUCAGCUAGUUGGUAAGGUAAUGGCUUACCAAGGCGAAGACGGGUAGCUGGUUUGAGAGAAUGAUCAGCCACACUGGCACUGGAACACGGGCCAGACUCCUACGGGAGGCAGCAGUGGGGAAUUUUGGACAAUGGGCGCAAGCCUGAUCCAGCCAUGCCGCGUGCGGGACGAAGGCCUCGGUUGUAAACCGCUUCUAGCCGGAAGAAAUACGCCGUUUUAAUUACUAGACGGUGGAUGACGGUACCGGAAGAAGAAGACACCGGCUAACUACGUGCCAGCAGCCGCGGUAA